UUUCCAGCAAUGGCAGAUUGCGCUGCAAAAGUAAUGUAGUGUUCUUUGUCAAAUUCAGGAUCACCCAUUGCCCAUCUCGCUGCUGUUCAGCCCUCGCCGAAGGAGCCUGCCUACGUGGUGAGCACCUUGCUCGCAGAUAUAGUGUGCAUAGAGCUCAGGCGCCACCAUCUGGUAGACUUUCUUGCAUACCAGGGAGGUGAAAUGAGGUGAAGUGCUGCAGACAUAGCUUGAUGGCUUCAACCACACUGACCCACACCGCUUCAUCUCCCCUGACGAGCUCCAUCAGAGUGAGAAGGAGGAUGGCGAGCACCUCAUCAUCGUUUCCACGACCCGCCUCACCCCCAACCAGCUCACUUGGCAAGCUGGUCAACGAUGCCAUUUUGGCAUGCCCAACCUUCCCUGGUGUGCGGCUGCCAAGCGAGGAGCUGCUGACAUCAUGGCAAUUUGAGCAACAGCUGGGAGCUCUGAUCAAAGUGCUGCCCCCGCGCUGCUGGCAAUCCCUGAAGUGCCCCUGGCAAAGACGCUUGGGUCUGUGAUUUGCGGUGAGGUGCCCAAAUGGUGAUGAGUGGUGCCUGUCAGGAUGUUUCAGGAGAUAUUUUCUAGAUGCUAGUAUCUACGAAUGAUAUUAAUGUGGUUUGGGCGGUGCAAAGUACCUCGACUACCUCAAGAUAAGGGAUUUCAAGGUACAAACGGCAGACUCUGAGUCCCUACAACGGCUGAAGGCACGUAGAAUCAUGCAUGUCUUGUAUCUCUUCAUUACUCUGCAGAAUAUGCUUGCAGAUGCGCCAGGGCGCGCCAGGGUGGAUUCAGGGGCGCAUUGGAGGAUUGCACCCACAAGCGAUGAUGAGAGUCUUGUAUGAUGGAUGCAUAUUCAAAAUCCUUGUCGAAGGAUUGGCCAUGGAGCUGCUCUCAGAAGCGAUAAACUUUCGGUAACUAAGGUUUUUCACAACCGCAAGGAUGAGAUGGCUAUUGACUGGGGAGCGCCAUCAUCUUGUCUGCAUCCGGCGGGGAAGCAAUCCACAAGGAGCUGAAGGCGGCCUGGCGCCACACGAACAAACAAAGCGAGUCAGCUAUCGACCAG
This 1081-nucleotide long non-coding RNA is filed under the name Coccomyxa subellipsoidea. Its description in RNAcentral is "long non-coding RNA (CSUB_LNC000007)". Lineage: Eukaryota; Viridiplantae; Chlorophyta; Trebouxiophyceae; Coccomyxaceae. The record is from RNAcentral.